This 547-nucleotide ribosomal RNA is filed under the name uncultured Glomus. RNAcentral describes it as "SSU rRNA". It matches the Rfam family "Eukaryotic small subunit ribosomal RNA", at positions 548 to 1098 of the family's 1831-position model. The record is from RNAcentral. Lineage: Eukaryota; Fungi; Glomeromycota; Glomeromycetes; Glomerales; Glomeraceae.
UUGGAGGGCAAGUCUGGUGCCAGCAGCCGCGGUAAUUCCAGCUCCAAUAGCGUAUAUUAAAGUUGUUGCAGUUAAAAAGCUCGUAGUUGAAUUUCGGGGUUAGUAAGUUGGUCAUGCCUCCGGUAUGCACUGGCUUUACUGAUUCCUCCUUCUUGAUGAACUGUAAUGUCAUUAAUUUGGUGUUGCAGGGAAUCAGGACUGUUACUUUGAAAAAAUUAGAGUGUUUAAAGCAGGCAUACGCUUGAAUACAUUAGCAUGGAAUAAUGAAAUAGGACGUUUGAUCCUAUUUUGUUGAUUUCUAGGAUUGACGUAAUGAUUGAUAGGGAUGGUUGGGGGCAUUAGUAUUCAAUUGUCAGAGGUGAAAUUCUUGGAUUUAUUGAAGACUAACUACUGCGAAAGCAUUUGCCAAGGAUGUUUUCAUUAAUCAAGAACGAAAGUUAGGGGAUCAAAGACGAUCAGAUACCGUCGUAGUCUUAACCAUAAACUAUGCCGACUAGGGAUCGGAUGAUGUUAUUUUUAAUGACUCAUUCGGCGCCUUACGGGAAAC